RNAcentral lists this ribosomal RNA (255 nucleotides) under uncultured bacterium. Its description in RNAcentral is "partial 16S ribosomal RNA". It matches the Rfam family "Bacterial small subunit ribosomal RNA", at positions 524 to 776 of the family's 1533-position model. The record is from RNAcentral.
GACGUAGGUGGCGAACGUUAUCCGGAAUUAUUGGGCGUAAAGGAUGCGUAGCUGGUGUAGUAAGUUAUCGGUGGCAAAUCGAGGCUCAACCUCGUGGAAGUCGGUAAUACUGCUAUGCUAGAGGAUAGGAGAGGUUAACGGAACUCCCUGUGGAGCGGUGAAAUGCGUAGAUAUAGGGAAGAACACCAAUCAGGCGAAGGCAGUUAACUAUUCUAUUCCUGACAUUGAGGCAUGAAAGCGUGGGGAGCAAAACGG